GAUGAACGCUGGCGGCGUGCCUAAUACAUGCAAGUCGAGCGAACGGACGAGAAGCUUGCUUCUCUGAUGUUAGCGGCGGACGGGUGAGUAACACGUGGAUAACCUACCUAUAAGACUGGGAUAACUUCGGGAAACCGGAGCUAAUACCGGAUAAUAUUUUGAACCGCAUGGUUCAAAAGUAAAAGACGGUUUUGCUGUCACUUAUAGAUGGACCCGCGCUGCAUUAGCUAGUUGGUAAGGUAACGGCUUACCAAGGCAACGAUGCAUAGCCGACCUGAGAGGGUGAUCGGCCACACUGGAACUGAGACACGGUCCAGACUCCUACGGGAGGCAGCAGUAGGGAAUCUUCCGCAAUGGGCGAAAGCCUGACGGAGCAACGCCGCGUGAGUGAUGAAGGUCUUCGGAUCGUAAAACUCUGUUAUUAGGGAAGAACAUAUGUGUAAGUAACUGUGCACAUCUUGACGGUACCUAAUCAGAAAGCCACGGCUAACUACGUG
RNAcentral lists this ribosomal RNA (497 nucleotides) under uncultured bacterium. RNAcentral's name for it is "partial 16S ribosomal RNA". It matches the Rfam family "Bacterial small subunit ribosomal RNA", at positions 28 to 507 of the family's 1533-position model. The record is from RNAcentral.